Acomys russatus (golden spiny mouse) is the source of this 163-nucleotide small nuclear RNA. RefSeq annotates it as U1 spliceosomal RNA. The record is from RefSeq and is a predicted model, not a curated record. NCBI's taxonomy places the organism in Eukaryota, Metazoa, Chordata, Mammalia, Rodentia, Muridae. The transcript has a single exon.
AUACUUCUCUGACAGGGGAACUCCAUGAUCUUGAAGGUGAUUUAUCCAGGACAAGGUUUAGCUAUUGCUCAAUGGAUGUGCUGAGCUCUGCGAUUUCCCCAAAUGUGGGAAACUCAUCUACAAAAACUGUGGCAGUGAGGGACUGCAUUAGUACUCUCUCUUA